Molecule: unclassified non-coding RNA, 177 nt
Filed under: uncultured Chaetothyriales
Lineage: Eukaryota; Fungi; Ascomycota; Eurotiomycetes; Chaetothyriales
Description: sequence contains ITS1
Source: RNAcentral
CCGAGUUAGGGUCUUUACGGCCCGACCUCCAACCCUUUGUUUAUUAUACCAUGUUGCUUUGGCGGGCCUGCCUUUCGGGGCUGCCGGGGCAUUCCUGCCCCUGACCCGCGCCUGCCAGGAGCCUUCCUUAAAUUCUGUGUCAAACGAUGUUGUCUGAGUCCCAAUAUCAAAUGAUAA